UACAGAGGGUGCGAGCGUUGUCCGGAAUCACUGGGCGUAAAGGGCGCGUAGGCGGCUUGGUAAGCGUGCGGUGAAAGCCCGGGGCUCAACCCCGGGUCGGCCGUGCGAACUGCUGGGCUGGAGCACUGUAGAGGCAGGUGGAAUUCCGGGUGUAGCGGUGGAAUGCGUAGAGAUCCGGAAGAACACCGGUGGCGAAGGCGGCCUGCUGGGCAGUAGCUGACACUGAGGCGCGACAGCGUGGGGAGCAAACAGG
RNAcentral lists this ribosomal RNA (253 nucleotides) under uncultured bacterium. Its description in RNAcentral is "partial 16S ribosomal RNA". It matches the Rfam family "Bacterial small subunit ribosomal RNA", at positions 524 to 776 of the family's 1533-position model. The record is from RNAcentral.